This 497-nucleotide ribosomal RNA is filed under the name uncultured bacterium. RNAcentral describes it as "partial 16S ribosomal RNA". It matches the Rfam family "Bacterial small subunit ribosomal RNA", at positions 28 to 507 of the family's 1533-position model. The record is from RNAcentral.
GAUGAACGCUGGCGGCGUGCCUAAUACAUGCAAGUCGAGCGAACAGACGAGGAGCUUGCUCCUCUGACGUUAGCGGCGGACGGGUGAGUAACACGUGGAUAACCUACCUAUAAGACUGGGAUAACUUCGGGAAACCGGAGCUAAUACCGGAUAAUAUAUUGAACCGCAUGGUUCAAUAGUGAAAGACGGCUUUGCUGUCACUUAUAGAUGGAUCCGCGCCGCAUUAGCUAGUUGGUAAGGUAACGGCUUACCAAGGCAACGAUGCGUAGCCGACCUGAGAGGAUGAUCGGCCACACUGGAACUGAGACACGGUCCAGACUCCUACGGGAGGCAGCAGUAGGGAAUCUUGCGCAAUGGGCGAAAGCCUGACGGAGCAACGCCGCGUGUGUGAUGAAGGUCUUCGGAUCGUAAAACUCUGUUAUUAGGGAAGAACAAAUGUGUAAGUAACUAUGCACGUCUUGACGGUACCUAAUCAGAAAGCCACGGCUAACUACGUG